This 237-nucleotide ribosomal RNA is filed under the name uncultured bacterium. RNAcentral describes it as "partial 16S ribosomal RNA". It matches the Rfam family "Bacterial small subunit ribosomal RNA", at positions 99 to 339 of the family's 1533-position model. The record is from RNAcentral.
CGAACGGGUGAGUAAUGCAUCGGAACGUGCCCAGUCGUGGGGGAUAACGCAGCGAAAGCUGUGCUAAUACCGCAUACGAUCUAUGGAUGAAAGCGGGGGACCUUCGGGCCUCGCGCGAUUGGAGCGGCCGAUGUUAGAUUAGCUAGUUGGUGGGGUAAAGGCCCACCAAGGCGACGAUCCGUAGCUGGUUUGAGAGGACGACCAGCCACACUGGGACUGAGACACGGCCCAGACUCC